GAUGAACGCUGGCGGCGUGCUUAACACAUGCAAGUCGAACGGAAAGGCCCAAGCUUGCUUGGGUACUCGAGUGGCGAACGGGUGAGUAACACGUGGGGGAUCUGCCCUGCACUUCGGGAUAAGCCUGGGAAACUGGGUCUAAUACCGGAUAGGACCACAUUUUGGACGGGGUGGUGGAAAGUAUGUCGGUGUGGGAUGAGCUCGCGGCCUAUCAGCUUGUUGGUGGGGUAAUGGCCGACCAAGGCGUCGACGGGGAGCCGGCCUGAGAGGGUGUACGGCCACAUUGGGACUGAGAGACGGCCCAGACUCCUACGGGAGGCAGAAGUGGGGAAUAUUGCACAAUGGGCGCAAGCCUGAUGCAGCGAGGCCGCGUGGGGGAUGACGGCCUUGGGGUUGUAAACUCCUUUCGCUAGGGAAGAAGCGUUAUGUGACGGUAACUGGAGAAGAAGCACCGGCUAACUACGUGC
Molecule: ribosomal RNA, 467 nt
Filed under: uncultured bacterium
Lineage: Bacteria
Description: partial 16S ribosomal RNA
Rfam family: Bacterial small subunit ribosomal RNA
Source: RNAcentral